GAACGCUAGCUACAGGCUUAACACAUGCAAGUCGAGGGGCAGCAUGAAGUUGCUGCAACUUGAUGGCGACCGGCGCACGGGUGAGUAACGCGUAUCCAACCUGGCCCGCAGUAGGGAACAGCCCGGCGAAAGUCGGAUUAAUGCCCUAUGUCUUCCUUUGCAGGCAUCCAAUGAGGAAGAAAGAUUUAUCGCUGCGGGAUGGGGAUGCGUCUGAUUAGCUUGUCGGCGGGGUAACGGCCCACCGAGGCGACGAUCAGUAGGGGUUCUGAGAGGAAGGUCCCCCACACUGGUACUGAGACACGGACCAGACUCCUACGGGAGGCAGCAGUGAGGAAUAUUGGUCAAUGGGCGAGAGCCUGAACCAGCCAAGUAGCGUGCAGGGAACCGACUGCCCUAUGGGUUGUAAACUGCUUUUAUGCGGGGAUAAACUUCAGCACGUGUGCUGUUUUGCAGGUACCGCAUGAAUAAGGACCGGCUAAUUCCGUGCCAGCCGCCGC
RNAcentral lists this ribosomal RNA (497 nucleotides) under uncultured bacterium. RNAcentral describes it as "bacterial SSU rRNA". It matches the Rfam family "Bacterial small subunit ribosomal RNA", at positions 31 to 518 of the family's 1533-position model. The record is from RNAcentral.